AACGCAAGCACGGCGACGGUCUUUAUCACUAGACGUAGCGCGGCAACAUAUACAACAACAACAACAAACCAGCGUGGAUGAGGCUAUUAUUGCAAUGUUCCUGUUCUGCCUUGAAAGAUUUAAAGAUUAUGCUUGAGUUCUGUACAGAGAAACACAGAAGACAAAGGCUCCAGUGUAAUAUGAUAUUAAGUAAUAUGAUGGAAGAAGAUAAAUGAGCAGAGCGCAGGAGGCAAACAAAACGACGGGUAAUUACUCUGGUACUGAUGCUCCGUGUAAAGGACACAAUCUGGCAACCAUUGAAGCAAACAUAAACCUGCAGAGGUGAAUGGACAUGGGAGCUAAAGAGCCUUGCUAUGAGGAAAAACUCUACCAUGCACACAGAGAACAGAGCUCAAUGCUGCUAACUGGGGGAGCAGCUGGACAACUAGAAGAGAGAAUAGUAGAACACUAUUAAUACAGAUUCCUGGAUUAUUCUUCUGCAAGAACCAAGACAAGCAAAGACAGAUGAUGAGUGCUCUGAGCAAACACCCUAGUCAAGACGCAUGAGUGACUUUACGGAGUUCUACAUGUAAUGUUGGGCAUUUACUGUACGCAGAACUUCUAAUAAUUUAUGUGGAUGCCAUUCAUAAACCUGUUAGAUUUUGAUGUUUUAGUUUUGAGAUUAAUAAAAUUGUAUGCUUUAACAAUGUUA
Molecule: non-coding RNA, 691 nt
Organism: Pimephales promelas (fathead minnow)
Lineage: Eukaryota; Metazoa; Chordata; Actinopteri; Cypriniformes; Leuciscidae
Source: RefSeq, a predicted model, not a curated record